AAACUCAAAGGAAUUGACGGGACCCGCACAAGCAGCGGAGCGUGUGGUUUAAUUCGUUGCUACACGAAGAACCUUACCUGGGUUUGACAUGUAGGGUUGUAGGGAACUGAAAGGGACCGACCUUCGGGAGCCUAUACAGGUGUUGCAUGGGCUGUCGUCAGCUCGUGUCGUGAGAUGUUCGGUUAAGUCCGCUAACGAGCGCAACCCUCGUCGUAUGUUAUAUGUGUCAUACGAGACUGCCGGUAUCAAGCCGGAGGAAGGUGGGGAUGAUGUCAAGUCAGCAUGGCCUUUAUAUCCUGGGCUACACACACGCUACAAUGGCCAACACAAUAGGUUGCUAAGCCGCGAGGUGGCGCCAAUCCAUAAAGUUGGUCUCAGUUCAGAUUGCAGGCUGCAACUCGCCUGCAUGAAGUUGGAGUUGCUAGUAACCGCAGGCCAGCUAUACUGCGGUGAAUACGUUCCCGGGGCUU
This 470-nucleotide ribosomal RNA is filed under the name uncultured Anaerolineaceae bacterium. Its description in RNAcentral is "bacterial SSU rRNA". It matches the Rfam family "Bacterial small subunit ribosomal RNA", at positions 897 to 1382 of the family's 1533-position model. Lineage: Bacteria; Bacillati; Chloroflexota; Anaerolineae; Anaerolineales; Anaerolineaceae. The record is from RNAcentral.